AAAUGGUUAAGACUAUAACUCCUUUGUGUUAUUAUAAUAUCAUAAUGAUUCCAACUAAAUAACAGCUAUUUUUAAAUGGUUAAGACUAUAACUCCUUUGUGUUAUUAUAAUAUCAUAAUGAUUCCAACUAAAUAGCAGCUAUUUGUAAAUGGUUAAGACUAUAACUCCUUUGUGUUAUUAUAAUAUCAUAAUGAUUCUGACUAAAUAACAGCUAUUUGUAAAUGGUUAAGACUAUAACUCCUUUGUGUUAUUAUAAUAUCAUAAUGAUUCCAACUAAAUAGCAGCUAUUUGUAAAUGGUUAAGACUAUAACGCCUUUGUGUUAUUAUAAUAUCAUAAUGAUUCCAACUAAAUAACAGCUAUUUUUAAAUGGUUAAGACUAUAACUCCUUUGUGUUAUUAUAAUAUCAUAAUGAUUCCAAAUAAAUAACAGCUAUUUGUAAAUGGUUAAGACUAUAACUCCUUUGUGUUAUUAUAAUAUCAUAAUGAUUCCAACUAAAUAGCAGCUAUUUGUAAAUGGUUAAGACUAUAACUCCUUUGUGUUAUUAUAAUAUCAUAAUGAUUCCAACUAAAUAACAGCUAUUUUUAGUCGGACCCUUUUUUUUACAGCAUAUAAACACAUAACAUAUUGUAAGUAUUAUAAUAAGAUAUUAUCCAGAUCAUCUGACAUAAAAAGAAAAUGGGACAGUUUGAUGAAAAAGCUUUAAAUAAAGUUUAAAAUCCAGGCAUGUCACAUGACUACGCAAAACAGCGCCCUAGGGCUCAUUAUUCUUAUAACAAGUAAUGAAGCAUUAUACCCACUGGCUGUAAGCAGUGUUACCGUUCAUGGUUUACACACACAUGAUAUGUUGGUUAACAAAGUACCUGAUAAUGGUUUAUUAGCGUGUAUAAACAGACCUUCACAUGAAUAGUUUAUCAGAUCAAUUGAAGAAAUGUUGGGAAUGACCAAAAAAUGUUAUCAGAAAGAUUUGAAUAAGGGCAAUUCAGACUGGUUGAUAAUCUAAACCAGACUUGUUUCUAUGAUAAAGGAUGUGGUUUGAGAUCAACUUGCAACAGAUAUAACAGUGGUUCAGAUCACGAAUAGAAGGAGUGCUUAUACUGUGCAAGAUAGUGGCUAUAUUGUACAGAAGGGUUAUUCUUUGGGAUAGCCAUAGGAGAAUGCGCCUGUGUAGAUGAAUCCAAAGAUAAAGCCUAUCAUAGAUUAUCUAUUAAUCACAAUAAUUACACAUUCCCCUCUCAGGGUUAAACCUGAGAGACUGGAGAGAGUUGGUUGGUGUGCCUGUGUUCAUUUUUCUGUCUGUGUGUUUGUGUCUGUAUGUGUGCCUGUGUUCAUUUUUCUGUCUGUGUGUUUGUGUCUGUAUGUGUGCCUGUGUUCAUUUUUCUGUCUGUGUGUUUGUGUCUGUAUGUGUGCCUGUGUUAAUUUUUCUGUCUGUGUGUUUGUGUCUGUAUGUGUGCCUGUGAGAAAUAGGAGAAAGAAAGGGAGAGAACUAGAGAGAGAGAGAGAGAGAAAGAGAGUAGGAGAGAAAGACAAAGAGAGAGAGAGAGAGAAAUAAAAAAAGAGAACAAAGAGAAUCGUUCUCCAUCUUUCUCUUGACUCUAAGCAGGGGGAUUUCCAUGGCUCCUCUCGGUGUUGAUGAACCUGGCUUGACCAGAAUAUGUCUAAGGAGACACUGUGUGACUUCAGACGCAGUAAGAGGAUGGAAAGCCUUCCCUCUUCCUCCACAUCACAUAGGAAACAGGCCAUAUCUGAAAUGGCACCUUAGUCCCUAUACAGUGCACCACUUUUGGCCAGAGCCUUUAGAGUGCACUACAUAGGAAACAGGCUGGACUCUGGCCAGAAGUAGGGGACUGCAUGGGGAAUAGGGAGCGCUCUAGGUAAAAGUAGUGCACUAUGAAGUGAAUAGGGUGCGCUCUGGCUAAAAGUAGUGCACUACCAAAGGAAUGGGGUGCUAUGAGGUUAGAGGAGACUGUAAGCGACUGUGGCGACUGUUGGCAUACACUAGUGACAUAUCCCUCUUGGAUUAAUUAGGUUAGUCCUGAGUAGUGAUUAAUCCACAUAGCGUGGUGGGAGUGUUUAAUCCUAAAGCUCCUUUAACCUGGACAGGGAGGCGCCCUCACAGAUGGCCAAGUAGACAGCACUGUCUCUCCUACCUGCUCAUUAUCUAAUAAACUAGCUACGCAGCUGGGCCGUGUGUGUGUGUGUGUGUGUGUGUGUGUGUGUGUGUGUGUGUGUGUGUGUGUGUGUGUCCGUAUGUGUGAGCAUACAUUGAGAGAGAGAUAGAUAGAGACAGUGAAAGAGAGAGGGAGAGAGACAGAGAGAGCAUGUCAUUAAAAAUAGUGAGAAAGAUAGACAGACUCUUGGCUUCUCUGGUCCCGAUGUUACAGUGUGCAUAUGUUAACAGCAGGUAUAUGUAAAGUGUCACCAGCAUUUGCAGCAGGCACACAUCUCUUCAAGUGGCCAAGUAUUGCACAUGCUGCAGCAAAUCAUCCUUCAGACCCAAUUGCCGCUUCUGUUUGUUGCCAGCCUACUGGAAUGUUCAGACCCAGACGAUCAAGUAAAGCAGCUCAAAGACUGAUUGCUUUCCGUCUAACGAGAGAAUAAUGUGUCGUCUUAAUGACAUGACCAGUGAUGUUAUUAGCUAAAUGAAUGAUGCUCUAUUCUCUGGCAGGGCCUUGAGAAGGAUGUUCAACCUGUUUUAUAUGGCGGAUCUAAUGUGUCACUAUGUGUAGAUAUAUAAAAGACUCUUAUUUAAUGUGUGGUAUAAAGUCUCACUUAUUUCAUUGGAAUAGCAACUGCAGUAAAUGGAGGGAGAUCAUUUAUUGAGCUAACCCAAACCCUGUAAAAUGUUCAGCACAUCAGUGUUACUGAGACACAGCGGGGCAGGUAGCCUUGUGGUUAGAGCGUUGGACAAGUAACCGAAAGGUUGCAAGAUUGAAUCCCUGAGCUGACAAGGUACAAAUGUCGUUCUGCCCCUGAACAAGGCAGUUAACCCACUGUUCCUAGGCUGUCAUUGAAAAUAAGAAUUUGUUCUUAACUAACUUGCCUAGUUUAAGAAAGGUAAAAUGAAAAACAACCUGGAUAGAGUUUGGACAUUAGCUCCAUCCAUGGUUUUUCAAAUGGUCCAAAUUGACAAUAAAUUGCCCAGUGUUCGACUCUGAGCCCUGAUCUCUCUGCUUGCAGACCAUCAUGUCUUCUUCUCGUGUACAAAGGGCCUUAAUGUAAUUACCCUUCACUUAAAUGGGACGCUGAGAAAGGUUCCCUGCUGUAAUUCUUUGAGUGUGGGCUCCAACAGAGUGAUUCUACGUCUGAGCUGUCCUGAUUGCAGAGCGAGAGAGCACUGUGAGGAUACUCUAAGCUGCUGCUGCCAGACAAGCCCACUUGUUAGUCCAAGAACAAAAACCUCCGUCCAAAAUGUUCAUCCUCAGGAUCCACUCCACUUCAUAUCACAAAACUGUAGUAGUCAUUUGCCACAAUUUGAUUGAACUGGUUUUAUUGUUCAUAGCUUUGUUAUUAUACUUAUGCUAAACAUUUCAUUAUAUUCUACUGAACCAUUUACUUUAUGUUCGUAUUCUUAUCUUGUAUUAUUUCUUAUUCUUGUUGCAUUGUCCAGAAGGAACCUGCAAGUAAGCAUUUCAUUGGACCCUAAAUAAAGAUCUUUAGGGUUACGGUAUAUUUUGGAGUGUUAAAAUCCAGACAGAAAAUAUUUACACAAGAAGCAACCUAAUAUCACACAGUCAACCUCUCAUUUCAUUUAGUAAGUUCACCAUUCUGCCAUUCUCACUGUGUAUCCUGUACAUACGACUAAUAAAACUUGAAACUUGGUCACACUUAUUCUAGUGCAGUGCAAGGAUCCUUUUGUGGCUGCCUGCGCAAUCUUGUCUCGUAUACCUGUUGUUUCAGCUCACAGACUACCCACAAGUGCUUUACAGCACAGAUCAUCAACUCUCCUCACACUAUCCGAUUAUUGACUUCCACACUGGCCUGUGCAGAGAGUUGAGUAGCAUGAUGCACAACAGUACCCAUAAUGCUCUGCACCAAUAGCCUUCAAGUAGAACUGCAGCAAGGGAAGGGUGUUCCAGGGAGUGGCGGAAACUGCGGAAUGGGGUCUGUAAACUCCUGCUACCGCGUGUUCUGGAGCAAAGAUGCUGGCACAAAGGACACUCCUGGCCCAGUACACGCUACUCGGUACCAGUAUGCUCUGCCCGGCAUCAUGGGAGUCACCAGGCAAGGUGCAAAGGAGCCAUCGACAUUGUCUGCUCAACCUGAACAGCCCUAGUGCAGAACCCUUUGUUCACACACACACACACACACACACACACACACACACACACACACACACACACACACACACACACACACACACACACAUACACACACACACACACACACACACACACACAGUUCACACCACAUGUCUAACUAACCAGUCCACCUUCUUUUUCUUUUUUUUUUUACCUUUAUUUAACCAGGCAAGUCAGUUAAGAACAAAUUCUUAUUUUCAAUGACGGCCUAGGAACAGUGGGUUAACUGCCUGUUCAGGGGCAGAUCGACAGAUUUGUACCUUGUCAGCUCAGGGAUUCGAACUUGCAACCUUUCGGUUUUUAAGAAGGCUCUGGCCCCAGACGCCUGUGUGUGUGUGUGUGUGUGUGUGUGUGUGUGUGUGUGUGUGUGUGUGUGUGUGUGUGUGUGUGUGUGUGUGUGUGUGUGUGUGUGUGUGUGUGUGUGUGUGUGUGUGUGUGUGUGUGUGUGUGUGUGCGUGCCUGUGUGUGUGUGUGUGUGUGUGUGCGUGCCUGUGUGUGUGUGUGCCUGCGCGCACAUGCAUGUCCGCCUGCUCUGGUGCAGGGCCAGGGAAGCAACGUGAGCAUGCUGUGGCUGUGAGGCUGAGCGAGACACAAUCCAACAAUGGAGCUGUAGCCAGACAGCUCUGUCUCUCUGCACUGCAACGCUUCAGAUCGGGGCGAGACGCCUCAGCGCUGCUGUUUGCUUACCAAGCUGAACAAAUAAAACUGUUUGUCACAGGGCUGAGGUGGAGGCUCGAAAUAGGUUUCCUUUUUUAUACAAGGAGAGCGCUCUAGCAAGAACAGACGAGCAAAGAUUUCUAUUAGAAACCCAGUUUAGUCCGUCGAGUGACCCAGAAAAACCCUCAAAGACGAAACAGUUACCUGAACUAGACCUUUACAGUGCAAAUCUACACCUUAUAGCACUAUAACCCCAACACAGUGUUGCAGCAAAAAGAAAUGCUACAUUUCACACAUUUCACUCUCCCCUCGAACCACACUGAACCAUUGUGUGUGAAUCAACAAUGCAGAUUUAAAACAUGCUAGACUUUCUCUGUUAAUAAGUUAGUGGUGAGAAUGUCUGACCCAGGGCUGAGCUAUGUGUGCCACAUGGUACAUGGAUGAGGCUGCUUGUUACCCAGGAUUGCCCACACUGCAGUGCGCUACCAGUUAACGACACACCAGACCAGAGCAACACACACACACACACACACACACACACACACACACACACACACACACACACACACACACACACACACACACACACACACACACACACACACACACACACACACGCAUCUCACAGGGGCAGCUGCUGUUAUUGCAUCUAUGCUAUAGUUAGUUAUAGUAGUACAGAAGAAAUAAUCACACGUUUAAACACGUCGGCCGGUGUAGGGAUAUUAGACUGAGGGUUACUGUUCUGGAGCACUAAGUCCUUACGCAUACUGUCACACUGGUGAGGAGUCCUGAAAGGGUGCCAUUUUACACAGCCAGCACAAAGAGGUUAGCAGUGAGAGGAGGAACGUACUCCUGCAGCGCAGCAAUGAGGGGAUGGGCCAGUGCAGCAAUGAGGGGAUGGGCCAGUGCAGCAAUGAGGGGAUGGGCCGAGGCUAUAAUGGAGUCGCUGUUCUGAAACACAGUUUAUCUACCUUCCAGCAUGGCUCACAGAGGGAGGGAGAAUCCACAGUGCUUUUAUUAGCAUGAUGCUAGCCUAAUCACAGCAAGGAUUGUUGACAAUAGAUCAUGUUAAUGAGGACUGUAAAUAGUCAAGAGCAGAAUGCAAACAAAACAUGUAUGUUAGCCCUAAGCAUGUUAGCCCCGUUGCUAUCAGAAGCUGGGUGUGAGCUGUUCAGUUUGCUGUCCCUAAAGCAAGUUCAAACCCAACAGACUUGCAGUUAUUUUAAGUAGUUUAGCAGAUACACUAGAAUUUGCUAGCUGCUCCGUUAAAAAAGGUUACACUACAUCCGUGACAUGGUAAUAACUGCUAACAUACAGACUCAAUGUGACAUGGUAAUAACUGCUAACAUACAGGCUCAAUGUGACAUGGUAAUAACUGCUAACAUACAGGCUCUCUGAUAUACAAACCCCUACGAACGUACUGUCUACGCACACGCUACCUUGUGUGUGUAUGUGUGUGUGCACGCAUGUGUGCAUGAAGACGAGGGCUCAGUGAGGUCAAACACAAGUAUACCGAGCUGUUAUACCUUCACGCUCUCCACAGUACUUUGUGCUGCUCUCAAGACAGAAUAAGACAUGGACAGAAACAGAAAGAAACCACUUUCCCAGUUGUCAGAGGAAAGACAAAGGAAUAACAGAACAGACUGGGCCAGUGACUAGUUUUAUUUUUUUGUGGGCCUCAGAGACAUGUCCAGGAUUGGUAACAUUAGCUUAAACGUUCACAUGUCCAGGAUUGGUAACGUUAGCUUAAACGUUCACAUGUCCAGGAUUGGUAACGUUAGCUUAAACGUUCACAUGUCCAGGAUUGGUAACGUUAGCUUAAACGUUCACAUGUCCAGGAUUGGUAACGUUAGCUUAAACUCCAGGAUUAGUAAUGUUAGCUUGGUAACGCAAGCUCCCCCCUCCAUCUUCCACCCCACCACAAAGAUUCCUCAGCUGAUUUCAACCCACCAUUGUGUCACAUGACCCUCGAGCCGGCAUUCCUUCAACCCCCCCCCACACACACUGCCGCCUGAUUCCAGCUAACCUUUUCCCCCUUUUCUUUCCAGACGGUUUUCCUUCUCCGACAAUAUAGUGUCUAUGUACGUUUGACAGUCUGAAACGCCUUUGUCUUGCAGAGAGAGCCACGGACGGGACGACAGCGCACCACUCCCAGCUCCCGAGAGCCUAACCCGUGGACAUGAGAGCACAACGUCACA
RNAcentral lists this long non-coding RNA (7154 nucleotides) under Salmo salar (Atlantic salmon). Its description in RNAcentral is "lncRNA (ENSSSAG00000090601.1, ENSSSAG00000096372.1)". The record is from RNAcentral. Lineage: Eukaryota; Metazoa; Chordata; Actinopteri; Salmoniformes; Salmonidae.